UUAGGCUGAUUUUGGAUUAUUUGUCUGUGAAGACACAGUAGUUCAGUUUCUGAAUCCCAUCAAGAAUGAAGACCUGCAGGCCACCAUAUUGAGCUGGUCUGAUGUCAUGAUAUGGCGCUUUUCCAAUGUAGGGUACAACUUGGCUCGGCACGAUGCAGCUCAGCUCGCUUUCGUUGCUUUUCCAGUACAGUUUAGUAUCGCUUCAGAGUGGGUGAGAUUAUAGGCAGGGGUGCACAUAAGGGUGUGUAUGCGCGAUUAGAAACAAUUCCAGCGUACCAACGUCGCUGGAAUUUUGUUACAUAGUUAGCUAAUUUACUGCGACAUCUCGAUCACUCCCCAGUGACUGGUCCCAGUAUAGGUCAUAAACCCCGCCUCCCCCAUGUUAUUCAAUGGGACUUGAGACCUGUUAGAUACAAAAUAAACUUCAGUAUGUAAAACGUUUUCUCUUUAUUUAUCCACCGAUAACAUCCGCUCCAACACGAGCACUAAAACAACAACCGGCUUUCCGCCCGGGCUUCAUAAUAAGAGUCACCUUUUAGCUUCCGUAAAAGGUCAUGUGAAAUAAUAAACAAUAUUUAGCAUAAAGCUAUAAUAUACAUAAACACAUUUUUAAUGUCUUAAACUUAACAAGACCAACUAAACAAUUAAAUUACACUUCAAUUAUCUUUUUUCCGAAGCUUGUUUUUGUCAUUUACUGUAGGUUUUAUCAUGCUGAUGUAAAUUCAAGUGUUUGUUUUUAAAAUAAGUUUGUUUUUAGUUAGUUAGUUAAUGCUAUAAAAACGGUGGUGUCACGUCAUGAUUGACAGCUGUGUAUGCACAUUCUGGGAGAGUGAGGGCGGGGCCUUGAUUUCGCGGCUUUACUUCCUGCUCACUACUGCACAGGACUGGUCCCGAAAUUGCUACUGCGCAGACUCAAAACCCAAGAUGUCAGCGGCGACACUGGCGGCUUCACUUUUCACCAAUGGAAGAGAGCAAGCUCUCCAGGUGCUCCUUUUAGAACUAGGACAAAAAAAAGUUAUGUGCACCCCUGAUUAUAGGCUUAUUGUUACAGUUGCGUCCCCUCUACUGCCGUAACAUCAUCGUAAAUGCGAUACAAACACACACACACACAACAUGGAGCAACAGAGCAUAUUAAUGGAAUGUAGCCACAAAAUCAAAAUUGACAGCCACAACUACAUUUUCCACUACCUCUCUCACAUGACAGGUUCUGUACAAACACCCAUGUCAUCAGUACCUGCACUAUGCGGACAGAACAUUUAAGCCAUGACGCCUAUAUUUUUGGUGCGUUUUGGAUGCGGAGCUAUGCGCAAAGUUACAAAAAUGCCAUGCAGACAUAGGCAUGGUGGUGUGCUCUGCAUUUUUGUAACUUUACACAUGACUUCACAUCGGAAACCCAUUACUCCUCACCCAAAAGUGAGCUGUGCUGAACUGGGUCAUACUAUGGAGUGGAAAGGCGCCAAAAGUGUCCUACUUCGUGGCUUGAAGGAUUUAGCAGUUUCAGCGUUGG
This is a non-coding RNA of Misgurnus anguillicaudatus (oriental weatherfish), 1507 nucleotides long. Lineage: Eukaryota; Metazoa; Chordata; Actinopteri; Cypriniformes; Cobitidae. The record is from RefSeq and is a predicted model, not a curated record.